UUGAUUAAUGUUGUUUAUGCUUCAUUUAUUAUGUGCACCGUUACCGUCAAAUUGGCGGCCGAAAGGUCGUCUUUUGACUUAUUUCAUUAUUUACUAAUCAUUUACUAUGCCUAUGAUACAAAACUAUUAGA
RNAcentral lists this unclassified non-coding RNA (131 nucleotides) under soil metagenome. Its description in RNAcentral is "partial internal transcribed spacer 1". The record is from RNAcentral.